CUGACCACACGCACAGAGAAAGAGGGUGCGCAAAAAAAGGAGCCGCCGCGGGGUUGCCGUCGCCGCCGCGAGGCUGGGCUCGCCGCUGUGAAAGGUCACCGCCCUUCCUCUACCAUCACCGAAGAUCCAUCACCGAAGCUGCUGGGCUCGCCGUAUGCUACUGUUGUGUCGCCGGAACUGUCCUGGGGUUUUGCCACUCAUUUAGAUUCUGCUCUGUUUUGGGUUAGUGCUGUUGCUAUUGUUUUGGCCGCCGAAAAACCUCGAUGCCGCCACCUCUGCUGCCAGAAACAGCCGCUGAGUCUUCUAUGAUGAUAAGCUCUAACCCUGCUUCAGCUUCUUUACCUGUUAAUUUCUCCAUGGGCCAUGAGAGUUGUUGCUAAGGCUGGUUGUGUCAGGAGUUUACCGCGAGUUGCCGUCGUUCUGGUCACCGGCUGUGAAGUUGGUGUUGCCAGAAUCCACCAUUGGUGCAGCCGCUACUUGGUUCCCUCGAGUUCGAGUUGUUGAGAUUGUUGCGAAAGUGGCUUGGAACCGAGGUUUUGGCUGCCGGGAUUUUGAUUGUUGAUUUUGGGUCGAGGCGAAAAGUAUUCUGUGACGCGUUUGGGCUAUGGUAUGCGUUUUGAGGAUAUGGGCGCAGAAGUUACGAAGAGUUUAUUUAGUUGUGGUUGAAAUG
Molecule: non-coding RNA, 670 nt
Organism: Arachis ipaensis
Lineage: Eukaryota; Viridiplantae; Streptophyta; Magnoliopsida; Fabales; Fabaceae
Source: RefSeq, a predicted model, not a curated record